Molecule: transfer RNA, 63 nt
Filed under: Scrobicularia plana
Lineage: Eukaryota; Metazoa; Mollusca; Bivalvia; Cardiida; Scrobiculariidae
Description: tRNA-Thr
Rfam family: tRNA
About the family: Transfer RNA (tRNA) molecules are approximately 80 nucleotides in length. Their secondary structure includes four short double-helical elements and three loops (D, anti-codon, and T loops).
Source: RNAcentral
GGUUGUAUAGUUUAAUUAGAAUGAGGGUUUUGUAAGCCUUUGGUGUAUAAAUUACUAUAACCU